AUUGAACGCUGGCGGCAUGCUUUACACAUGCAAGUCGAACGGUAACAGGCCGCAAGGUGCUGACGAGUGGCGAACGGGUGAGUAAUGCAUCGGAACGUGCCCAGUCGUGGGGGAUAACGCAGCGAAAGCUGCGCUAAUACCGCAUACGAUCUAUGGAUGAAAGCGGGGGACCGUAAGGCCUCGCGCGAUUGGAGCGGCCGAUGUCAGAUUAGGUAGUUGGUGGGGUAAAGGCUCACCAAGCCAACGAUCUGUAGCUGGUCCGAGAGGACGACCGGCCACACUGGGACGGGGACACGGCCCGGACUCCUACGGGAGGAGGCAGUGGGGAAUUUUGGACAAUGGGCGCAAGCCUGAGCCAGCAAUGCCGCGUGCAGGAAGAAGGCCUUCGGGUUGUAAACUGCUUUUGUACGGAACGAAACGGUCCUGGUUAAUACCUGGGGCUAAUGACGGUACCGUAAGAAUAAGCACCGGCUAACUACGUGCCAGCCGCCGCGGUAA
This 498-nucleotide ribosomal RNA is filed under the name uncultured bacterium. RNAcentral describes it as "partial 16S ribosomal RNA". It matches the Rfam family "Bacterial small subunit ribosomal RNA", at positions 29 to 523 of the family's 1533-position model. The record is from RNAcentral.